RNAcentral lists this ribosomal RNA (408 nucleotides) under uncultured bacterium. Its description in RNAcentral is "partial 16S ribosomal RNA". It matches the Rfam family "Bacterial small subunit ribosomal RNA", at positions 28 to 526 of the family's 1533-position model. The record is from RNAcentral.
GACGAACGCUGACGGCGUGCUUAACACAUGCAAGUCGAAGGGAGUGGCGAACGGGUGAGUAACACGUGAGUAACCUGCCCUUUUCUUUGGGAUAAUCCUGGGAAACUGGGUCUAAUACUGGAUGGAUUGUGCUGGGCUCGCGGCUUCUCGGCUUGUUGGUGGGGUGAUGGCUUACCAAGGCUUUGACGGGUGGCUGGCCUGAUAGGGGGGUCGGUCACACUGGGACUGAGAAACGGCCCAGACUCCGACGGGGGGCAGAAGUGGGGGAUAUGGCACAAUGGACGAAAGUCUGAUGCAGCGACGUCGUGUGAGGGAUGAAGGCCUUCGGGUUGUAAACGCCUUUCGCCCGCGGAAUGGUAGUGGGUAAAGAAGCGCCGGCUAACUACGUGCCAGCAGCCGCGGUAAUAC